This 6046-nucleotide long non-coding RNA is filed under the name Salmo salar (Atlantic salmon). RNAcentral's name for it is "lncRNA (ENSSSAG00000087738.1)". The record is from RNAcentral. Lineage: Eukaryota; Metazoa; Chordata; Actinopteri; Salmoniformes; Salmonidae.
AGAAGUAGGAUAAGGAUACGGCUAAAGGCAAUAAGAACUGGCCGUCUAGCACGUUCGGAACAGAGAGUAAAAGGAGCAGGUUUCUGGGCACGAUAGCAUAGAUUCAAGGCAUAGUGUACAGCCAAAGGUAUGGUAGGAAGAGAGUACAUUGGCGGUGAACCUAGGCAUUGAGUAAUGAUAAGAGAUAUAGCCUCUAGAGACGUUUAAACCAGGUGAUGUCAUCGCAUAUGUGGGAGGUGGAACAACAUGGUUGGUUAAGGCAUAUUGAGCAGGGCUAGAGGCUCUACAGUGAAAUAAGACAGUAAUCACUAGCCAGGAUAGUAAUGAACAAGGCAUAUUGAUAUUAGGGAGAGGCAUGCGUAGCCAAGUGAUCGUAUUGGUCCAGUGAAUGGUUGGGCUGGCUGGGGACACGGUGAUUCAGACAGUUAGCAGGCCGGGGCUAGCAGGCUAGCAGUUAGCAGGCCGGGGCUAGCAAGCUAGCAGAAGGGCCUUAGAGGGACGUCGCGAUGGGGGAAAGUCUGUUUCUGCCUCAUCGUGCGGUGACGUAGAUAGACCAGUCGUGGAUUAGUGGUCCAUGAAACUGGCCGAUGGAUCAGCUAACAGUCCAAUAUGCUCUAGAUAGCUAGCAGGCCGCGGUUAGCAAAAUGGGCCUUCAGGGGGCAUCACGCCUGAGGGGCCUGUUGGAAUCCUCGGGCAGAUUAUGUCGGUAUUCCAGUCGUGAAGGAUCGGCGGGGUUCCAUGUCCCGUACCGGCAGAAGAAGGCGUCCGGAUUUUGUAGCCCAGGAGUGUGCUUCAGGAGUAGCCCAGGAGCUCUAGCCGGGAGAUGGGCCUAGCAUGGGCUAGCUCCAGGCUAAUUGGUGCUUGCUCCGGGACGGAAACGUUAGCCAGGAGUGGUCAACCUGGGUUGCAGUUAGCUAGCUGUGAUAAUCCAGAUGAAAAGGUUCAAAGUUUGCGGUGUUUUCCGCACAGCUGCGCUCAGCCACCUCAGACAGUUCCAUAUCACUCAUGAAGAUUUAUUUUGGACAGCGGCACGGAACUAUUGCCGAAACCACUAUACUGAUCUUAUCACUGUAUACAAUCAGGAGGAAGCUGAGCAGCUGAUAGAGUUAAUGAGAUCUAACGGCAGCACUAUGGCCUGGAUAGGUCUCAAUCGCAAAGAGCACAGACAGAAUUUGUCCAAUGAAAACCUUUUUGAUGAAGCUCCAUUGUCACCACCUACAGGCGAAUACACAAAGCCAAACUGUGCUCCUUUCUUGACCCGCCUGCUGAAUGAUGACUGGGAGUGGUCUGAUGGGGGGAGAUCUGCCUAUAGAAACUGGUCAAUGGACCCAAGAGAUGACCAACCCUAUGUAAAAUUAAUUACACCUGGAAGUCUGAUAGCUCUUGGGAGUGAAAACCAAGGAGAUUCAUUAUGCAAUGACGACUUGGAUGAAGAUCGUCGAGGAAAGAAAGACCUGGGAACAAGCUCUGAACCACUGCAAUAAUAAGUACCGUGGACUGCUGCGUAUUGAAUCUGAAAAGGACCAGAGGGUCGUGGAGCAGAACCUGAGGUGUGCUGGUGUCCCUGGUCCCGUGUGGGUGGGUCUGAGACAGAGUAGUGUCUUUGGGUUUUGGGUCUGGACCAAUGGGCUGCCACUGACAGGGUACUGGAAUAACUGGGAGGGGGACAGACAGCCUGAACAGCCUCUGGCCCACCACUGUGGUGCAAUGGCAACUGUGGCAGGAUACAAGUGGAGUGAUAAGGACUGUCUGUCCAUGUUCUAUUUUAUCUGUGAAAAGUGAUACAUUUCCUUACUGUCUAUCACUACCAUUCUACAUGUUUUGAUUGACAUGUUGAAUUUAGGUAAGUGAUCAUUGAAAUAAUUUCUCCAAUGUUGUUUUACAGCAUGCAAUGUAAUGUACACCUGGUCAUUAUCAAUAUAAUAUAUUAUCAAUAUACAGUAUAUGAGCAAUAUUUGAGUACAAUUGCAUGAUAUUUCUGAUAUUUUAAAUGUUUAGAACAAAAUAUAUAGAUUAUAUGAUGGUGAUUAAAUGAUGAUAGUCCUCAGUCAUUAUAUGUACAGUUGAAGUCAGAAGUUUACAAACACCUUAGUCAAAUACAUUUAAACUCAGUUUUUCACAAUUCCUGACAUUUAAUCCUAGUAAAAAUUCCCUGUAUUUGGUCAGUUAGGAUCACCACUUUGUUGUGGUCAGAAUAAUAGUAGAGAGAAUGAUUUAUUUCAGCUUUUAUUUCUUUCAUCACAUUCCCAGUGGGUCAGAAGUUUACAUACACUCAAUUAGUAUUUGGAAGCAUUGCCUUUAAAUUGUUUAACUUGGGUCAAAUGUUUCGGGUAGCCUUCCACAAGCUUCCCACAAUAAGUUGGGUGAAUUUUGGCGCAUUCCUCCUGACAGAGCUGGUGUAACUGAGUCAGGUUUGUAGGCCUCCUUGCUCGCGCACACUUUUUCAGUUCUGCCCACACAUUUUCUAUAGGGUUGAGGUCAGGGAUUUGUGAUGGCCACUCCAAUACCUUGGAGUCCAUUUGGAAGACCCAUUUGCGACCAAGCUUUAACUUCCUGACUGAUGUCUUGAGAUGUUGCUUCAAUAUAUCCACAUAAUUUUCCCUCCUCAUGAUGUCAUCUAUUUUGUGAAGCGCACCAGUCCCUCCUGGAGCAAAGCACCCCCACAACAUGGUGCUUGCCACUCCUGUGCUUCAUGGUUGGGAUGGAGUUCUUCGGCUUGCAAGCCUCCCCCGUUUUCCUCCAAACAUAACAAUGGUCAUUAUGGCCAAACGGUUCUAUUUUUUAUUUCAUCAGACCAGAGGACAUUUCUCCAAAAAGUUUGAUCUUUGUCCCCAUGUGCAGUUGCAAACCGUAGUCUGGCUUUUUUAUGGCAGUUUUGGAGCAGUGGCUUCUUCCUUGCUGAACAGCCUUUCAGGUUAUGUCCAUAUAGGACUCAUUUUACUGUGGAUAUAGAUACUUUUGUACCUGUUUCCUCCAGCAUCUUCACAAGGUCCUUUACUGUUGUUCUGGGAUUGAUUUGCACUUUUCGCACUAAAGUACGUUCAUCUCUAGGAGACAGAAUGCGUCUCCUACCUGAGCGGUAUGGCGGCUGCGUGGUCCCAUGGUGCUUAUACUUGCGUACCAUUGUUUGUACAGAUAAACGUGGUACCUUCAGGAGUUUGGAAAUUGCACCCAAGGAUGAACCAGACUUUUGGAGGUCUGCAAUUUUUUUCUGAGGUCUUGGCUGAUUUCUUUUGAUUUUCCCAUGAUGUCAAGCAAAGAGGCACUGAGUUUGAGGGUAGGCCUUGAAAGACAUCCACAGGUACACCACCUAUUGACUCAAAUGAUGUCAAUUAGCCUAUCAGAAGUUUCUUAAGCCAUGACAUAAUUUUCUGGAGUUUUCCAUUCUGUUUAAAGGCACAGUCAACUUAGUGUAUGUAAACUUCUGACCAACUGGAAUUUGUGAUACAGUGAAUUAUAAGUGAAAUAAUCUGUCAGUAAACAAUUGUUGGAAAAAUUACUUGUGUAAUGCACAAAGUAGAUGUCCUAACCGACUUGCCAAAACUAUAGUUUGUUAACAAGAAAUUUGUGGAGUGGUUGAAAAACGAGUUUUAAUGACUCCAACCUAAGUGUAUGUAAACUUCCAACUCAACUGUAUGCCAUUUAGCUGACAGUUUUAUCUUAAAGACCCAGUGCAGUCAAAAUGCAGUUUUACUAGGUUUUGUAUGUCACGUCUACACCUGCUCCCUCUUUCCAGUACGCGACGUCACCGGUCUACUAACCACCGGCCCUUGCAACAAUUAUUAUGCACACCUGCUCCAAAUCAUUACGCACACCUGGUCAUCAUUAGCUCCUUGAUUAUUUCCCCUUUGUUUAGCCCUCAAUAGGUAGUGUUUAGGUAGUAUUGUUUUCUCUCAUGUUCUGUAUGCGGCUCAUGUUUUGUUCAUCUGCAGCGAUUCAUUAUUUAACUUUAUUCUGCAUCUGACUCCCAGCGUAUUACGUUAUAUUGUAUCAUAUUGUACAACAGUUGAUGAAACUAACAAUGUAAAACUGUGAACACAUUUUAUCAGUGUUAAUUCCUGAUUGUUGCCGGUUGAAAAUACAAUCUACACAGGACCUUCCAAUCAGCAGGUCUGCAUGUGCGAGAGUUUUGGCUCUCCAUCAUGAUAUCGCUAUGCGGUAAAUUGGUUAGAUUUGGUUAUGUCAUUUUAGGCGAAAAUGUAAAAAAAAGGGUCCGAUCCUUAAGAGGUUUUUAACCUGUUGGGGAUAGGGGGCAGUAUUUGCACGGCCGGAUAAAAAACGUACCCGAUUUAAUCUGGUUACUACUCCUGCCCAGUAACUAGAAUAUGCAUAUAGUUUGAUUUAGAUAGAAAACACCCUAAAGUUUCUAAAACUGUUUGAAUGGGGUCUGUGAGUAUAACAGAACUCAUUUGGCAGGCCAAAACCUGAGAAGAUUCCAAACAGGAAGCGCUCUCUCUGACCAUUUCAUGGCCUUCUUGAUCAUCUCUAACCAAAACAUGGGAUCUCUGGCAUAACGUGACAUUUUCUAACGCUCCCAUAGGCUCUCAGAAGGCGCCAGAACGAUGAAUGGUGGCUUUGCAGGCCAUGGCUGAAAAACAUUAGCGCAUUUGGUAAGUGGUCGAUCUGAGGACAAUGAGACUGGAGGCGCGUGCAUGUUUACUUUCUCUCUCUUUGAACGAAAACAACGACUCCCGGUCGGAAUAUUAUCGCUUUUUUACGAGAAAAAUAGCAUAAAAAUUGAUUUUAAACAGCGUUUGACAUGCUUCGAAGUACGGUAAUGGAAUAUUUUUUAAUUUUUUGUCACAAAACGCUUCUUUACCCUUCGGAUAGUGUCUUGAACGCACGAACAAAACGCUGCUAUUUGGAUAUAACUAUGGAUUAUUUUGAACCAAACCAACAUUUGUUAUUGAAGUAGAAGUCCUGGGAGUGCAUUCUGACGAAGAACAGCAAAGCUAAUCAAACUUUUCUAAUAGUAAAUCGGAGUUUGGUGAGUACCACACUUGGUGGGUGUCAAAAUAGUUAGCCUGUGAUGGCCGGGCUAUCUACUCAGAAUAUUGCAAAAUGUGCUUUCACCGAAAAGCUAUUUUAAAAUCGGACAUAGCGAGUGCAUAAAGGAGUUCUGUAUCUAUAAUUCUUAAAAUAAUUGUUAUUAAUUGUUUUUUGUGAACGUUUAUCGUGAGUAAUUUAGUAAAUUCACUGGAAGUGUUCGGUGGGAAUGCUAGUCACAUGCUAGUCACAUGCUAAUGUAAAAAGCUGGUUUUUGAUAUAAAUAUGAACUUGAUUGAACAAAACAUGCAUGUAUUGUUUAACAUAAUGUCCUAGGAUUGUCAUCUGAUGAAGAUCAAAGGUUAGUGCUGCAUUUAGCUGUGGUUUGGGUUUAUGUGACAUUAUAUGCUAGCUUGAAAAAUGAUUAACAAGAGUCUUGUCUUUAAAAUGGUGUAAAAUAGUCAUAUGUUUGAGAAAUUGAAGUAAUAGCAUUUCUACGGUAUUUGAAUAUCACGCCACGGGAUUACACUGGCUGUUGAGUAGGUGGGACGCAAGCGUGGGACGCAAGCGUCCCACUGGCCCAGAGAGGUUAACAGACCAAUAACAAAGAAAGUUCCAAACCACUCGGCCAGUAACAGCUAGUUUUCAGUUUUCUCCUCCCCAUUCAGACCACUCCCAGACAAUCCGAGCAAGAUUCUUGUUCAAUAGUUUUUUGCAAAAAAGCUAAUUUAAAAAAUUGUAAUGGAAAUCUAUUACAGUAAGGUACGUUACCCAGAAAUGAUUUGAUAAUGAUAUAAAAAUGGCUGCAUUGGGCCUUUAAGUUUACCCAUAGUCAUCAACGUUCCACUCAUCACUAUGGGUUAUUUGUGACAAACUAUCAUUAUCAGUCAGAAGUUGCAAUGGAUAAUUUGCACAUAUAUUAUGUUCUUAUCAACAUUUAGAUUUUUCGCUGUUUGGGGAUUUCAUCUGGUUUUAACAAAACAAUGUCUUUGCUUUCAUAGUAUGUAUGUAUUAUUGCCACACUCAGAGAAUGUAACGGUUGUCGUCGGGAAUGGAGGAC